UGUUCUGUCGUCUAGUUGGUAGGACACACCCUUUGGGAGGGUGAAACCUGGGUUCGAAUCUCAGUGGAGCAA
This 72-nucleotide transfer RNA is filed under the name Hymenobacter sp. RNAcentral's name for it is "tRNA-Pro". It matches the Rfam family "tRNA". Rfam says of the family: Transfer RNA (tRNA) molecules are approximately 80 nucleotides in length. Their secondary structure includes four short double-helical elements and three loops (D, anti-codon, and T loops). Lineage: Bacteria; Pseudomonadati; Bacteroidota; Cytophagia; Cytophagales; Hymenobacteraceae. The record is from RNAcentral.